CUCGGAGUUGAUCCUGGCUCAGGAUGAACGCUGGCGGAAUGCUUUACACAUGCAAGUCGAACGGUAGAGGGGGCAACCCCUCGAGAGUGGCGAACGGGUGAGUAAUAUAUCGGAACGUGCCCAGUCGUGGGGGAUAACGUAGCGAAAGUUACGCUAAUACCGCAUACGAUCUACGGAUGAAAGCGGGGGACUCGCAAGACCUCGCGCGAUUGGAGCGGCCGAUAUCAGAUUAGGUAGUUGGUAGGGUAAAGGCUCACCAAGCCAACGAUCUGUAGCUGGUCUGAGAGGACGACCAGCCACACUGGGACUGAGACACGGCCCAGACUCCGUACGGGAGGCAGCAGUGGGGAAUUUGGACAAUGGACGCAAGCCUGAUCCAGCCCAUGCCCGCGUGCAGG
This 398-nucleotide ribosomal RNA is filed under the name uncultured Comamonadaceae bacterium. RNAcentral describes it as "bacterial SSU rRNA". It matches the Rfam family "Bacterial small subunit ribosomal RNA", at positions 1 to 407 of the family's 1533-position model. The record is from RNAcentral. Lineage: Bacteria; Pseudomonadati; Pseudomonadota; Betaproteobacteria; Burkholderiales; Comamonadaceae.